UGGGCGUAAGGGCUCGCAGGCGGUUUCUUAAGUCUGAUGUGAAAGCCCCCGGCUCUACCGGGGAGGGUCAUUGGAAACUGGGAAACUUGAGUGCCCUAGAGGAGAGUGGAAUUCCACGUGUAGCGGUGAAAUGCGUAGAGAUGUGGAGGAACACCAGUGGCGAAGGCGACUCUCUGGUCUGUAACUGACGCUGAGGAGCGAAAGCGUGGGGAGCGAACAGGAUUAGAUACCCUGGUAGUCCACGCCGUAAACGAUGAGUGCUAAGUGUUAGGGGGUUUCCGCCCCUUAGUGCUGCAGCUAACGCAUUAAGCACUCCGCCUGGGGAGUACGGUCGCAAGACUGAAACUCAGAGGAAUUGACGGGGGCCCGCACCAGCGGAGGAGCAUGUGGUUUUAUUCAAAAA
This 403-nucleotide ribosomal RNA is filed under the name Bacillus subtilis. RNAcentral describes it as "bacterial SSU rRNA". It matches the Rfam family "Bacterial small subunit ribosomal RNA", at positions 555 to 957 of the family's 1533-position model. The record is from RNAcentral. Lineage: Bacteria; Bacillati; Bacillota; Bacilli; Caryophanales; Bacillaceae.